Podospora aff. communis PSN243 is the source of this 91-nucleotide non-coding RNA. The record is from the annotation of a GenBank genome assembly. Lineage: Eukaryota; Fungi; Ascomycota; Sordariomycetes; Sordariales; Podosporaceae.
UCUUCCGUAGUAUAGUGGUCAGUAUGUGAGCUUGUCACCUUCACUGAGGAAGACUUCGCUCAAGACCCGGGUUCAAUUCCCGGCGGGAGAG